AGUGAACGCUGGCGGUAGGCCUAACACAUGCAAGUCGAACGGCAGCACAGAGGAGCUUGCUCCUUGGGUGGCGAGUGGCGGACGGGUAAGGAAUACAUCGGAAUCUACUCUGUUGUGGGGGAUAACGUAGGGAAACUUACGCUAAUACCGCAUACGACCUACGGGUGAAAGCAGGGGAUCUUCGGACCUUGCGCGAUUGAAAGAGCCGAUGUCGGAUUAGCUAGUUGGCGGGGUAAAGGCCCACCAAGGCGACGAUCCGUAGCUGGUCUGAGAGGAUGAUCAGCCACACUGGAACUGAGACACGGUCCAGACUCCUACGGGAGGCAGCAGUGGGGAAUAUUGGACAAUGGGCGCAAGCCUGAUCCAGCCAUACCGCGUGGGUGAAGAAGGCCUUCGGGUUGUGAAGCCCUUUUGUUGGGAAAGAAAUCCAUCUGGUUAAUACCCGGGUGGGAUGACGGUACCCAAAGAAUAAGCACCGGCUAACUUCGUGCCAGCCGCCGCCGUAA
This 506-nucleotide ribosomal RNA is filed under the name uncultured bacterium. RNAcentral describes it as "partial 16S ribosomal RNA". It matches the Rfam family "Bacterial small subunit ribosomal RNA", at positions 29 to 523 of the family's 1533-position model. The record is from RNAcentral.